CAGCCAAGAGAGCUGUGCUGUACCUUGUCCACGGUGAGGGGAAGGAAGGAGUGCAGAGAGUGUGAGGCUCUCCUUAACGAUUCUGUCCGUAAACCCCAGGUGUUGGCGGAGUGUGGGGAGGAGAGGAAGUCACGAGUAAAUGGAUAAAGAUCAGAAGCGCCGAGUGACAGCAAUGGAAAACAGACUAGCAUGCUGAUCGCUAUUCUCCUCUCUCCCACCUGUGCUUCCCCAGAAGAGAUUUGGUUUUCUCCUUGGCAAGUGUGGGAAGUUCAACAGUGAAAGAAACACUGGACUGGAAGGAACACCUGGGACUUGGAGGGCAUGGAACUGAUAAAAGCUAAGUUUUCAGGAACAAAUCUUCCACUGUACAAACAUAGGUCUGCCUGGCCACAGGCCGGACUAUCAGGACUGACAUGGAAUGUCUAUGCUGGCUAGCUUGAGAGGGCUGGCCCACUGGGCACCAGGCUCACUGUGGUGAGGCGUUGAGAGCCCAGAGGCUUUCCUGGCCUGCAAACCUGAGACUGGCCAGGAGACACGCACAUCUGUGUUCUUGGUGUCAGCGUUCAUUCUUCGUGCUUUGGCAGAGAAAUUUUCUGGGCUGGGACCUUUUACUUCAGGACAAAAGAGCAAAAAUCAAAGAAUGCAUCUUCUGAAAUUCCAUGGCCAAAUGUGCCUGUUGGUCCAGACUGCUCUUUGUUCCACAGUGGAGCUGGAGCUGGCCUGCAGGAGCAAGCUUUCCUUGAGUGCACACAACAUGCAAGGCCUUUGUACUAAGAACACACAUAAUGGUCAUGGAGUCCAUUGGGGAAGCACUGGGUGGUUUGAUGAUUUCUUGCUUUCAGUGUGACUUGAAACCCCACACU
This is a long non-coding RNA of Microtus oregoni (creeping vole), 863 nucleotides long. RefSeq lists it as uncharacterized. NCBI's taxonomy places the organism in Eukaryota, Metazoa, Chordata, Mammalia, Rodentia, Cricetidae. The transcript is spliced from 3 exons. The record is from RefSeq and is a predicted model, not a curated record.